This 253-nucleotide ribosomal RNA is filed under the name uncultured bacterium. RNAcentral describes it as "partial 16S ribosomal RNA". It matches the Rfam family "Bacterial small subunit ribosomal RNA", at positions 524 to 776 of the family's 1533-position model. The record is from RNAcentral.
UACGUAGGGUGCAAGCGUUAAUCGGAAUUACUGGGCGUAAAGCGUGCGCAGGCGGUGAUGUAAGACAGUUGUGAAAUCCCCGGGCUCAACCUGGGAACUGCAUCUGUGACUGCAUCGCUGGAGUACGGUAGAGGGGGAUGGAAUUCCGCGUGUAGCAGUGAAAUGCGUAGAUAUGCGGAGGAACACCGAUGGCGAAGGCGAUCCCCUGGACCUGUACUGACGCUCAUGCACGAAAGCGUGGGGAGCAAACAGG